Long non-coding RNA from Gambusia affinis (western mosquitofish), 556 nucleotides. RefSeq lists it as uncharacterized. Lineage: Eukaryota; Metazoa; Chordata; Actinopteri; Cyprinodontiformes; Poeciliidae. The transcript is spliced from 3 exons. The record is from RefSeq and is a predicted model, not a curated record.
UUGAAGAAGAGAAGUUCAACGCCAUACCUCAGUCAUUUUUAAGCAAUUUUAAUAUGUCAUUUUUGCCUUUAUCAGCCAACACUGAGACAAAGACAACAGCAAGAAAAUUCUCCGAAUCCUACACCUUACAGGUGUGUAAGAUACUGAGAAAUCACUUUUUGCAGCCAGAGGAUGAAUGAGCACAAGGUCUCAUUGGAUGAGUGUGAAAUCUGUGUUGGAUGCAUCUUGCUACAAAAUGGAAUGAGGUAAGGGCGUGUUUGAAGGACGAGCUCUGAAGCUAUGAGAGAAGGAUGGAGAAAGAUCAGAGGGAAGAUUAAUCAGCUAUAUGAGGAAGUUAAUGGAGUGAAACAUAAGUGGAGGAGUUGGCAGCACAUGCAGAGGAGGCGAGGCGGAUGGGGGGUACCUGGGAGAAGGAAAGCUGGCAGAGGAGAAAAUAAGGUAAGAAGAAAGCGAAGAAAAGGGAAAAAAACCAAAAAAAAACUGUAUCCUCUCCCGUUCCUGUUUCCCAUGCUCCCCUGUGUAUGCGGGGUAAUCAAAAACAUUUAGAUGUUUUACG